GUGGGGAAUUUUGGACAAUGGGCGCAAGCCUGAUCCAGCCAUGCCGCGUGCAGGAUGAAGGCCUUCGGGUUGUAAACUGCUUUUGUACGGAACGAAACGGCUCUUUCUAAUAAAGAGGGCUAAUGACGGUACCGUAAGAAUAAGCACCGGCUAACUACGUGCCAGCAGCCGCGGUAAUACGUAGGGUGCGAGCGUUAAUCGGAAUUACUGGGCGUAAAGCGUGCGCAGGCGGUGAUGUAAGACAGAUGUGAAAUCCCCGGGCUCAACCUGGGAACUGCAUUUGUGACUGCAUCGCUGGAGUGCGGCAGAGGGGGAUGGAAUUCCGCGUGUAGCAGUGAAAUGCGUAGAUAUGCGGAGGAACACCGAUGGCGAAGGCAAUCCCCUGGGCCUGCACUGACGCUCAUGCACGAAAGCGUGGGGAGCAAACAGGAUUAGAAACCCCAGUAGUCC
This 450-nucleotide ribosomal RNA is filed under the name uncultured bacterium. RNAcentral's name for it is "bacterial SSU rRNA". It matches the Rfam family "Bacterial small subunit ribosomal RNA", at positions 354 to 796 of the family's 1533-position model. The record is from RNAcentral.